Long non-coding RNA from Helianthus annuus (common sunflower), 562 nucleotides. RefSeq lists it as uncharacterized. Lineage: Eukaryota; Viridiplantae; Streptophyta; Magnoliopsida; Asterales; Asteraceae. The record is from RefSeq and is a predicted model, not a curated record. The transcript has 4 exons.
AUAGAAAAAAAUGCAGCAGUUAUCACCUAGGAGGUUUUCAUUGAUGGAUAUGGGGUGAGAGCUCAUGGUCCUAAACUUCAUGUGGCUCAUGUUUUUUCUCAUUUGUUGCUACUUUUGUGAGGGCCUUUUUUGUCAUGAUCGACGUAGAAGGGUUCGCCGAAGUAAAGACUGGUCUAGAGAGCUUGCAUGACCAAACUAAUGUUCAGCUGGUCAGUAUGUUCUAAAAGAUCCAACUAUCAGUAGCAUUUGUGUGGCAUCAACUAUCUGAGCUAAAGUUUUUUACUUGGCAUAUUUCAAUAAAUAUAUGGCUGCUGAUCCAGGAUAUGAUCCUUUAUGACCUUAAUGCUCAAGUGUGUUCUUUUGCCAUUGGUUUAUGGUUGACCAACCAUGGAAAUAAUGACAAAUGAAACCCGACCAUUGGUCUUUGUUCAUCAUUGCCCAACACAUAGGACAUGUUUAUAUUUUGGAUUCAACAAAGAUAAAAGGCUAAAAGAAUGCUUCUAACUAUCGUCUUUCAAGCCUAAUUCCUACCACCUUAGGAUCCGAGUUCAACUACACAAUG